CACCACUUAGUGGCCACGGUGGCAAUCCGGUGCCCUCCACUGACCUCUUCGCUGCUGCACCUUUUUCCUAUACUCUCACUCCUUCUCUCUCUAUCUCUUUCAAUUAAAUAUUCUAUCGGACAACAUAGAGUCAUGGAUGCCUUUGUGGCCCUCUGACAGCCUUGGCGGGCCAUCGUUGACCCCCAACGAUGUCAUCCCCUACUUUUCUUUCCUACUUUCUUUUCCUCUCUUUUCCUGUUUUUUGUUCUAU
RNAcentral lists this long non-coding RNA (250 nucleotides) under Elaeis guineensis (African oil palm). RNAcentral's name for it is "long non-coding RNA (EGUI_LNC008792)". The record is from RNAcentral. Lineage: Eukaryota; Viridiplantae; Streptophyta; Magnoliopsida; Arecales; Arecaceae.